This 253-nucleotide ribosomal RNA is filed under the name uncultured bacterium. RNAcentral's name for it is "partial 16S ribosomal RNA". It matches the Rfam family "Bacterial small subunit ribosomal RNA", at positions 524 to 776 of the family's 1533-position model. The record is from RNAcentral.
UACGAAGGGGGCUAGCGUUGCUCGGAAUUACUGGGCGUAAAGGGCGCGUAGGCGGACCUGUCAGUCAGGCGUGAAAGCCCAGGGCUCAACCCUGGAACUGCGCUUGAUACUGCGGGUCUAGAGUGCCGGAGAGGAUGGUGGAAUUCCCAGUGUAGAGGUGAAAUUCGUCGAUAUUGGGAAGAACACCGGUGGCGAAGGCGGCCAUCUGGACGGCAACUGACGCUGAGGCGCGAAAGCGUGGGGAGCAUGCAGG